Molecule: long non-coding RNA, 1148 nt
Organism: Peromyscus maniculatus bairdii (prairie deer mouse)
Lineage: Eukaryota; Metazoa; Chordata; Mammalia; Rodentia; Cricetidae
Source: RefSeq, a predicted model, not a curated record
UUAUCAGAAAAUAUCUCCUGUUAGAGGAGAGUCCCACGGAGUCCCAACUGAAAGUCAGUCCCAGAUGAAGCCAAAUGUUUAUUCACUCUUCCAGGGAGACUGGAUGCAGGAGAGGGAGUUUGAGGAAAUCAACAUCCUGGAGCACAGAACCUCUGUGAUCCAUCUGAGGCUCAGUGCAUACUGAAUCCCUGAUGGAGAAGACUGGCAUCUCUCCCCAAGUGACCCCGUGUGACCCCGUGGCUCAAACUGAUCGUGAAGGACUUGCUGAGCACCGGAAGGCAAAACAUUUACCAUGUGAGCCCUCAGCGUCUGCUCCAGCCGCCAUGUUUGCUGUUGCCGCCAUGCUUUUCCGCCAUGAUGGACUGGAACCCCUCUCUGGACUCAGAAGCCAAAGGAACCCUCCCGAAUGUGGAGGACUCUGGGACUUUGGACUAGCAAAGCAGUCGAACACUGUAAGUGAGGUUUAAUGGGCUUAAUCCUAGUAGGAACUUGGAACACAAUAGCACUGAGACCAACAUGGACAGUGGAGCCCCAGCUCAAGAGGUUUCAGAGGAGCUUACUGGCGAAGCUAGAAACCAUUGAGGUAUUUUGGCAACAAAUGUGGCUGCUUUUUGCCUUUGUCCUAACAAUCUGCCUGAGGCUAAAUUGAAAAGUAAUGGACUAACUUCCUUGGCAGAGGAGAUUUCCAGACAGCCUAAUGCUGGCUCUGUCUCAUGGUUAUUAGUAACCACUCCUGUGCAAGUGUAUAAUAAAAAAGAGCAUGUGGGACAAGAAGAAACACAAAAUGUACAGCUGGAAGAGAAAAAGAGCACCAGGAAAUGUCAUGUUGGAGCCCAGGCUUAUCCCAGAAGAGGUUGGAACAGUUCCUCCUGAGGGGAGAGGAAGGCUCCCGAAACUCACAAGAAAUGUACAUGGCUGAGGAGGCUCAUGAAGCUUGCCAGGCCCCUCCCCGAAACAGUAAAGAACUGUGACAAGGACUGUCUCCAGUGGGGUAUCUGCCUGCAUGCUGGGCAGGGAGCUCCAGGGAUGUCGCUUUAUGAAUCCCACACUGAGAUGAAUCCUUGCGGGGCGGCAGCUGCACACACACGUCACCCAGGCUCCUGUAAAUAUCUCCUCCCUUACGCUUGUGUAAGUUGUCCCGAUAAAGU